UUUCUAUCUCCGCGAGAAUUGAAAAUUCUCAGUCUUUGCUUUUCUAGAAAGAACACCAACGCGCUUGCAGUCCUGACUCUCUCUCUCUCUCUCUCUCUCGGCAAAGUCAAACCAACAAAUUCAUCUCCUUCUCUUAAUAUAAUUUUAUUUCCUCUCUUUCUGUCUUCAAACUCUCCCAAAAUUCUUCUUCUUGUUCUUUCUCUUAGUGAUCUCCGCUAUCUCUGUCUAUUUCUUUGUUUUUCCUGUCGCUGUUUAGCCAACGGAACUCCGUUUGUUCAUCCGAUGAGUAAUAACACGGCGUCGUCUAGUGCAGGAGCCAAUGGGUCGGCUGAUUCUGCUGCUCCCAGGAGAAAUUCAAAGCGACCCAAAUAUUCAAGGUUUACCCAGCAAGAACUUCCGGCUUGUAAACCAAUUCUCACGCCACGAUGGGUGAUUUCGGCAUUUAUGCUUGUUAGCAUUAUUUUUGUUCCUAUUGGAAUUGCUUCCUUGUUCGCUUCCCGAGAUGUUGUUGAAAUUGUUGA
RNAcentral lists this unclassified non-coding RNA (521 nucleotides) under Hevea brasiliensis (rubber tree). Lineage: Eukaryota; Viridiplantae; Streptophyta; Magnoliopsida; Malpighiales; Euphorbiaceae. The record is from RNAcentral.